RNAcentral lists this ribosomal RNA (407 nucleotides) under uncultured bacterium. RNAcentral describes it as "bacterial SSU rRNA". It matches the Rfam family "Bacterial small subunit ribosomal RNA", at positions 355 to 774 of the family's 1533-position model. The record is from RNAcentral.
UGGGGAAUAUUGCACAAUGGGCGCAAGCCUGAUGCAGCAACGCCGCGUGAGGGACGACGGCCUUCGGGUUGUAAACCUCUUUUGGCAGGGAAGAAGCGAAAGUGACGGUACCUGCAGAAAAAGCACCGGCUAACUACGUGCCAGCAGCCGAGGUGAUACGUAGGGUGCAAGCGUUGUCCGGAAUUAUUGGGCGUAAAGAGCUCGUAGGCGGUUUGUCGCGUCCGCUGUGAAAACCCGAGGCUCAACCUCGGGCCUGCAGUGGGUACGGGCAAACUAGAGUGCGGUAGGGGAGAUUGGAAUUCCGGGUGUAGCGGUGGAAUGCGCAGAUAUCAGGAGGAACACCGAUGGCGAAGGCAGAUCUCUGGGCCGUAACUGACGCUGAGGAGCGAAAGCAUGGGGAGCGAACA